RNAcentral lists this ribosomal RNA (540 nucleotides) under uncultured bacterium. RNAcentral's name for it is "bacterial SSU rRNA". It matches the Rfam family "Bacterial small subunit ribosomal RNA", at positions 8 to 526 of the family's 1533-position model. The record is from RNAcentral.
AGAGUUUGAUCAUGGCUCAGAACGAACGCUGGCGGCGUGCUUAACACAUGCAAGUCGAACGGGAUCCAGAGCUUGCUCUGGUGAGAGUGGCGCACGGGUGAGUAACGCGUGGAUAACCUGCCCUGGUAUCCGGAAUAACAUCUCGAAAGGGGUGCUAAUACCGGAUAAGCCUACGGAGCCCUCGGUCUCUGCAGGAAAAGGUGGCCUCUAUUUAUUAGCUACCGUAUCAGGAUGGGUCCGCGUACCAUUAGCUAGUUGGUGGGGUAAUGGCCUACCAAGGCGACGAUGGUUAGCUGGUCUGAGAGGAUGAUCAGCCACACUGGAACUGAGACACGGUCCAGACUCCUACGGGAGGCAGCAGUGGGGAAUUUUGCGCAAUGGGGGAAACCCUGACGCAGCAACGCCGCGUGAGUGAUGAAGGCUUUCGGGUCGUAAAGCUCUGUCAGAGGGGAAGAAAUGAGAUUGGCUAAUAUCCAAUUUUCUUGACGGUACCCUCAAAGGAAGCACCGGCUAACUCCGUGCCAGCCGCCGCGGUAAUUC